CCAAUAGCGUAUAUUAAAGUUGUUGCAGUUAAAAAGCUCGUAGUUGAAUUUCGGGGUUGGUAGGUUGGUCAUGCCUCUGGUAUGUACUGGUCUCACUGAUUCCUCCUUCCUGAUGAACCUUAAUGCCAUUUAUUUGGUGUUUCGGGGAAUUUGGACUGUUACUUUGAAAAAAUUAGAGUGUUUAAAGCAAGCUAACGCUUGAAUACAUUAGCAUGGAAUAAUGAAAUAGGACGUUCGAUCCUAUUUUGUUGGUUUCUAGGAUUGACGUAAUGAUUAAUAGGGAUAGUUGGGGGCAUUAGUAUUCAAUUGUCAGAGGUGAAAUUCUUGGAUUUAUUGAAGACUAACUACUGCGAAAGCAUUUGCCAAGGAUGUUUUCAUUAAUCAAGAACGAAAGUUAGGGGAUCGAAGACGAUCAGAUACCGUCGUAGUCUUAACCAUAAACUAUGCCGACUAGGGAUCGGAUGAUGUUAAUUUUUUAAUGACUCAUUCGGCGCCUUACG
Molecule: ribosomal RNA, 500 nt
Filed under: uncultured Glomeromycotina
Lineage: Eukaryota; Fungi; Glomeromycota
Description: partial small subunit ribosomal RNA
Rfam family: Eukaryotic small subunit ribosomal RNA
Source: RNAcentral